This 411-nucleotide unclassified non-coding RNA is filed under the name Arabidopsis thaliana (thale cress). The record is from RNAcentral. Lineage: Eukaryota; Viridiplantae; Streptophyta; Magnoliopsida; Brassicales; Brassicaceae.
UUCUAAUGUUUGAAUAUUUAAAACUGUAGAAAAUAAAAUAAAGAUAUUGAAACUUAUGAUGGUGUCGUCUUCGUUAUCACAGUACAAUUUGCAAUGAACAAUGGGUUUUGUGAUUUUCGCUAUGAUAUUUCUACCUCCAGCAGUUUAUUCAGUGCCAGAUAAUAGACAGAACUUAUCAGUAGCAAAAGGAACCUGAUCGAUCAGCAGAUCAUAGAUAGGUACAGGUGUUGCUGCGUUGGUGCUUACGUGAGUUCGUGGACUUCACAUCGCCGACCAAAUCCGAGUUCAUUUUUCCUUACAAUAAUUCCAGUUCUUUCUAUAAUAUUAUUUCCAAAGUUAUAUCCAAAUUUGGUUUUCUACCUUCUAUAUAUAAUUCUUUUUAUCAUGUUUUCUAAAUGGAAUAUUCUUUUC